AACGCACCUUGCACCUUUUGGUAUUCCGAAAGGUACAUCUGUUUGAGUGUCCAGAAAAAAAAACGACCAUGCUGACCUUCGCUGAAGUGUUGGUGUGUGUUGGAUGCUGAGUGCUGCUGUCUGCAACGGACAGCUCACUUUAAAUGUAUGAGCAAUCUUGACCUGUUCGGAUCGACUUGACAUGAUAACAUCUUUGUCGAGGAUGCUUCUCAGCAGCCGGAUGGUGUAAAAAGUAGCUUCUAAACCUGCACACAUCUGUGGUGCCUCAUUCGUUUGACCUCAGAUCAGAUGGGACUACCCGCUGAACUUAA
RNAcentral lists this unclassified non-coding RNA (311 nucleotides) under uncultured fungus. RNAcentral's name for it is "sequence contains ITS2". Lineage: Eukaryota; Fungi. The record is from RNAcentral.